Molecule: ribosomal RNA, 253 nt
Filed under: uncultured bacterium
Lineage: Bacteria
Description: partial 16S ribosomal RNA
Rfam family: Bacterial small subunit ribosomal RNA
Source: RNAcentral
UACGUAGGGGGCAAGCGUUGUCCGGAUUUAUUGGGCGUAAAGAGCUCGUAGGCGGCCGUUCGCGUCGGAUGUGAAAGCUCAGGGCUCAACUCUGAGAUGCCAUUCGAUACGGGACGGCUAGAGGUAGGUAGGGGAGAGUGGAAUUCCUGGUGUAGCGGUGAAAUGCGCAGAUAUCAGGAGGAACACCGGUGGCGAAGGCGGCUCUCUGGGCCUUACCUGACGCUGAGGAGCGAAAGCUGGGGGAGCGAACAGG